RNAcentral lists this small RNA (102 nucleotides) under Methylomicrobium album BG8. RNAcentral's name for it is "t44 RNA". It matches the Rfam family "t44 RNA". From Rfam's summary of the family: This family consists of a number of bacterial RNA genes of between 135 and 170 bases in length. Lineage: Bacteria; Pseudomonadati; Pseudomonadota; Gammaproteobacteria; Methylococcales; Methylococcaceae. The record is from Rfam by way of RNAcentral.
GUUUUUCUGAAAUAAAUACUCACUUUUACCGUCACGCUUGCCAGGGUGACUGUGCCGUACGUAUUGCGGCGGGUUGGCAGGCGGGGUAAAGGGAGGCGUAAC